CGAACUUCGCAUGCGGGAACCGCGACGAGGGAACUCCAAGUGCCAUGCAAUUUGUAUGGCUGUUUUCAUGUCUAAAAAACAUGGAGAGUAAGGGCUGGGUAAGACUGGUGCCAGCCGCCGCGGUAAUACCAGCAGCUCAAGUGGUGAUCCUUUUUAUUGGGCCUAAAGCGUCCGUAGCCUGUCUGGUAAAUCCUUGGGUAAAUCGUACCGCUUAACGGUACGACCUCUGGGGAGACUGCCAGACUUGGGACUGGGAGAGGUCGGAGGUACUCCAGGGGUAGGGGUGAAAUCCUGUAAUCCUUGGGGGACCACCAGUGGCGAAGGCGUCCGACUAGAACGGAUCCGACGGUGAGGGACGAAGCCGUGGGGCACAAACCGGAUUAGAUACCCGGGUAGUCCACGGUGUAAACGCUGCGAGCUUGGUGUUGGGGGUCCUACGAGGGCGCCCAGUGCCGGAGAGAAGUUGUUAAGCUCGCCGCCUGGGGAGUACGAUCGCAAGAUUGAAACUUAAAGGAAUUGGCGGGGGAGCACAAGCCGAAUUCCAGGCACAC
RNAcentral lists this ribosomal RNA (551 nucleotides) under uncultured archaeon. Its description in RNAcentral is "bacterial SSU rRNA". It matches the Rfam family "Archaeal small subunit ribosomal RNA", at positions 343 to 896 of the family's 1478-position model. The record is from RNAcentral.